This is a long non-coding RNA of Gadus morhua (Atlantic cod), 3421 nucleotides long. The record is from Ensembl. NCBI's taxonomy places the organism in Eukaryota, Metazoa, Chordata, Actinopteri, Gadiformes, Gadidae.
AUGCCGGCCACUAGGUGGCGCUAUACCAAGGAAUACGCGUUUGGGGCUAUAACUCCCACACCGAACCUCCCACAGUCAAAAACUUGUACGCACAUAUUCACUGGAGUCUGCUGCAUCUUUUGGCAUAGGCCACGCCCAUUUGUGUCUGGAACAAACCGUAAAUGGUGCCGACACGCCAAUUGCAUGACUAGAUCCAGGUCCGUGAACAUUACGCAGACCACAAAAAUACAGACACGCCGGCCACUAGGUGGCGCUAUACCAAGGGAAAACGCGUUUAGGACUAUAACUCCCACACCGAACCUCCCACAGUCAAAAACUUGUACCCACUUAUUCACUGGAGUCUGCUGCAUCUUUUGGCAUAGGCCACGCCCAUUUGCGUCUAUAAUUUUUUUUCGCAAAAUCGCGAAAACCGCAAAACUGUUUUUUCGCUACUCCUCCCACAUUUCCUGACCAAUCGACACCAAACUUUGCACACGGCAUCUUCAGACCUACACGAAAAGAAAUGCUGCAUUACUUUUUUGAUCCGACCCUCGACGACGAAACGGUAGCGUUUUGAACAUUGGUUUAUUAGCUACGUUUUACGCCGAAACGCAAAAAUUCAAAAAAUACCAAAAUUAGACAUCGGAUCUAGCCCACAUUUUAGACACAUGUCGGUGUUACCCUUAAUGGCGUUCAAUAAAAAAAACGGAAUUUUUCGCCAUUAGGGGGCGCAAUAAACGAGGAAAUUGUAUAUCUUCUAAUUGGCCAAAGGAAUGUUCUUCAAACUAUAAGGGAACCAUCAAGGGGCAAACCCGAGUCUAUAUAGAAAAUAUGGCCAAGAAUUAUUAAUGUGGGCGGGAGUUAUUUGGCAAAGGAAAAUUGUCUUUGGAAAAUGUCGCCACAGGGCGGCGCCAAAAAACGACGACAUUGUCUAUCUCCUAUUUGGCCAAUGGAAUGUUCUGAAAACGCGUUUUAGGCUAUAACUCCCACACCGAAGCUCCCACAGUCAAAACCUUUAUAUCCACAUGUUGUUCACGGUAGCGUUUUGAAUACUUGCUUCGCGUUGUGCCGGCGAAAUGCACAUUUCUUGUCGCGUUGUGCCGGCGAAAUGCACACUUCUUGGACCCCUGCAUAACUGCUUGCAGUUCUAGUUAUACUUCCCGCCAUAGAAGUGGUACCACAGCCCAAACCGUAAAUGGUGCACACACGCCAAUUGCAUGACUAGAUCCAGGUACGGCACCGCUACUCAGAUAACCAAAUCCAGACACGCCGGCCACUAGGUGGCGCUAUACCAAGGAAUACGCGUUUGGGGCUAUAACUCCCACACCGAACCUCCCAGAGUCCAAAAACUUGUACACACAGAUGCACUGGAGUCUGCUGCAUCUUUUGGCCUCGGCCACGCCCAUUUGCGUCUAUGAUUAUUUUUCGCUAAAUCGCGAAAACCGCAAAAAUGUUUUUUCGCUACUCCUCCCACAUUUCUCGACCAAUUGACACAAAACUUUGCACACGGCAUAUUCAGACCUACACGAAAAGAAUUCCUGCAUUACUUUUUUGAUCCGACCUUCGACGACGAAACGGUAGCGUUUUGAAUAUUGGUUUAUUAGCUAAAUUAGACGUGGAAAAUCCAAAAUCCCAAAAAAUCCAAAAUUACACAUCGGAUCGACUCCAAGUUUAACACACAUGUUGGUGCUAACCUUAGUGUCGUACGAUAAAAAUUUCGGAAAAUUUCGCCAUUAGGGGGCGCCAUAAACGAGGAAAAUGUAUAUCUUCUACAAAAUUUGGCCUCGAAAACGCUAAACUGACUUCUCGCUACUCCUACCACAGUCAAAUCCUUUGUAUCCACAGGUUCAGGGUAGCGUUUUGAACACAUGCUUCGCGUUCUGCCGGCGAAACGCACAUUUCUUGUCGCGUUGUGCCGGCGAAAUGCACACUUCUUGGACCCCUGCAUAACUGCUUGCAGUUCUAGUUAGGGGUCCAAGCCAACAGGUUGGAUCCCUAUUGUUUUUGUAAGGAUUUUUAUUAUUAGGGGUCCAAGCCAACAGGUUGGAUCCCUAUUGUUUUUGUAAGGAUUUUUAUUAGGGGUCCAAGCCAACAGGUUGGAUCCCUAUUGUUUUUGUAAGGAUUUUUCUUAUUAGGGGUCCAAGCCAACAGGUUGGAUCCCUAUUGUUUUUGUAAGGAUUCUUCUUUUUAUACUUCCCGCGCUAAAAGUGGGCCCACAGCCCAAACCGUAAAUGGUGCACAUGCGCCAAUUACAUGACUAGAACCAGGUCCGGCACCGCUACUCAGAUAACCAAAUCCAGACAUGCCGGCCACUAGGUGGCGCUAUACCAAGGAGAAACACGUUUGGGGCAAUAGCUCCCACACCGAACCUCCCAGAGUCCAAAAACUUGUACACACAGAUGCACUGGAGUCUGCUGCAUCUUUUGGCCUAGGCCACGCCCAUUUGCGUCUAGAAUUUUUUUUCGCAAAAUCGCGAAAACCACAAAACUGUUUUUUCCCUACUCUUCCCACAUUUCUUGACCAAUCGACACCAAACUUUGCACACGACAUCUUCAGACGCACACGCAAAGAAUGCACGAAACACUUUUUUGAUGCGACCUUUGACGACGAAACGGUAGUGUUUUGAAUAUUGGUUUAUGAGCUAAAUUAGACGUGGAAAAUCAAAAAUCCAAAGAAAUCCAAAAUUAGACAUCGGAACGAGUCCAAAUUGUGCACACAUGUUGGUGCUAACCUUAAGGUCGUACGAUAAAAAUUUCGGAAAAUUUCGCCAUUAGGGGGCGCAAUAAACGAGGAAAUUGUAUAUCUUCUACAAAAUUUCGCCGCGAAAACGCUACGCUGACUUCUCGCUACUCCUACCACAGUCAAAUCCUUUGUAUCCACAGGUUCAGGGUAGCGUUUUGAACACAUGCUUCGCGCUGUGCCGGCGAAACGCACAUUUCUUGUCGCGUUGUGCCGGCGAAAUGCACACUUCUUGGACCCCUGCAUAACUGCUUGCAGUUCUAGUUAUUAUUCCUGCGCUAAAUGUGGUACCACAGCCCAAACCGUAAAUGGUGCCGACACGCCAAUUGCAUGACUUGAUCCAGGUCCGGCACCGCUACUCAGAUAACAAAAUACAGACACGCCGGCCACUAGGUGGCGCUAUACCAAGGAAAGACGCGUUUGGGGCUAUAACUCCCACACCGAACCUCCCACAUUUAAAACCUUGUACACACAUAUUCACUGGAGUCUGCUGCAUCUUUUGGCCUAGGCCACGCCCAUUUGCGUCUAGAAUUUUUUUUCGCAAAAUCGCGAAAACCGCAAAACUGUUUUUUCCCUACUCCUCCCACAUUUCUUGACCAAUCGACACCAAACUUUGCGCACGACAUCUUCUGACGCACACGCAAAGAAUGCAUGAAACACUUUUUUGAUCCGUCCUUCGAUAACGAAACAGUAUUGUUUUGAA